CUGCGCACCUCCUGCCCGGUUCUCUGUGAGCCAGAGGAGCCGGGUGCGUCCCCGGUGCACUCGGUCGCUUCGCCCCUCCCGCGCCCGGGGAGCCUGGGCCCCCACCCACUACGGCUCCAGGCACCACCUCGGUUCCACUCAAUCGAUUUUUUGCUGCAUGUCAACACUUAUUACCGACAUGAAAAGUGUUUGACUCAAUCCAGUGUCUACCGGCAAACCAUUUGCAUUCAUGACUGUGGAGUGACUGCCUGAACAAUAAAGGCUGCCAGACCCUGGGUGGUCCAGCAUGAACAUUCCCCAGUGGCUGAGACCCCAGAGCCUGCCUAGACCUCCUAUCACUCUCAGCGACGGAGGCAGUUGUUCUGUUACGGGGCUGCUGGGGCAGCCCUAUGAAUGAAGAUGGGCCAGAAUGAACAUAACAGUCACUGGACAGAGCAUCUUGACCACUGAACCUCCAGCAAUAGUCAAGCUUUUCUAUGGCUACAACCUCAGCCUUACCUUGAAUCCAGCUUCAUGAAAGAAUGUGACCCAGGAGCCUGGCACGGCAGCCUAGUGGCUAAAGUCCUCAUCUUGCAUGCACCAGGAUCCCACAUGAACACCAGUUCAUGCCCCGGCAGUCCCACUUCCCAUCCAGCUCCCUGCUUGUAGCCUGGGGAAACAGUGGAGGAUUGCCCAAAGCCUUGGGACCCUGCACCUGUGUGGGAGACCCUGAAGAAGUUCCUGGCUCCUGGCUUUGGAUUGGCUCAGCUCUGACUGUUGCAGUCACUUGGGGAGUGAAUCAGCAAACAGAAUAUCUUUCUGCCUCUCCUCCUCUCUAUAAAUCUGCCUUUAAAAAAAAA
This is a long non-coding RNA of Ochotona princeps (American pika), 839 nucleotides long. RefSeq lists it as uncharacterized. Lineage: Eukaryota; Metazoa; Chordata; Mammalia; Lagomorpha; Ochotonidae. The record is from RefSeq and is a predicted model, not a curated record. The transcript is spliced from 4 exons.